Molecule: ribosomal RNA, 3252 nt
Filed under: Triticum aestivum (bread wheat)
Lineage: Eukaryota; Viridiplantae; Streptophyta; Magnoliopsida; Poales; Poaceae
Description: partial small subunit ribosomal RNA
Source: RNAcentral
AUGGAGAUGGUGGAGAAGCUUUCUCUCACCACAAGACCACAUCCACAUCCUUACUACAUCCAAUGGUUCAACAACAGCGGCAAGGUUAAGGUAACACGUACUGUUCGUGUGCAUUUUAGUAUCUCUACAUAUGCUGAUUAUGUUGAUUGUGAUGUGGUACCUAUGCAAGCAUGUUCCUUAUUACUUGGUAGACCAUGGCAAUUUGAUAAAAAUUCUGUACACCAUGGUAGAAACAAUCACUAUACUCUUGUUCAUAAGGAUAAAAAUAUUACUUUGCUUCCUAUGACUCCUGAUUCCAUUUUGAAAGAUGAUAUUAAUAGAGCUAAUAAAGCACAACAGGAGAAGAAUAAGAGUGAAAAUCAGAUUGUGGCAAAAGAAUUUGAGCAACAAAUGAAGCCUAAUAAUAAAGCAUCUAGUGUGGCUUCUAAAAUUAAAUUGAAAAGUGCAUGUUUAUUUGCCACCAAAUCUGAUAUUGAUGAGCUAGAUUUCAGCAAAUCUGUUUGCUAUGCUUUUGUGUGCAAAGAGGCAUUAUUUUCAUUCGAGGACGUGCCUUCCUCUUUGCCUCCUGCUGUCACUAACAUUUUGCAGGAGUUCGCUGACGUGUUUCCACAAGACGUGCCACCGGGAUUACCGCCUAUUCGAGGGAUUGAGCAUCAGAUUGACUUAAUUCCCGGUGCUUCACUGCCAAACCGUGCACCAUACCGUACCAAUCCAGAGGAGACGAAGGAGAUUAUGCGUCAAGUACAAGAGCUUCUCGACAAAGGUUAUAUACGUGAAUCCCUUAGUCCUUGUGCCGUUCCUAUUAUUCUAGUGCCGAAAAAGGAUGGUACAGCACGUAUGUGUGUUGAUUGUAGAGGCAUUAAUAAUAUUACUAUUCGUUAUCGUCAUCCUAUUCCUAGGCUAGAUGAUAUGCUUGAUGAAUUGAGUGGCUCUACAAUAUUCUCCAAAGUUGAUUUGCGUAGUGGCUACCAUCAAAUUCGUAUGAAAUUGGGAGAUGAAUGGAAAACAGCAUUUAAAACUAAGUUUGGAUUAUAUGAGUGGUUAGUCAUGCCUUUUGGGUUAACUAAUGCACCUAGUACUUUCAUGAGAUUAAUGAACGAAGUUUUACGUGCUUUCAUUGGACGAUUUGUGGUAGUUUACUUUGAUGACAUAUUGAUUUAUAGCAGAUCUUUAGAGGAACAUUUGGAACAUUUACGUGCUGUUUUUAUUGCUCUACGUGAUGCACGUUUGUUUGGUAACCUUGGGAAGUGCACCUUUUGCACCGACCGAGUAUCUUUUCUUGGCUAUGUUGUUACUCCACAGGGAAUUGAAGUUGAUAAAGCCAAGAUUGAAGCUAUUGAGAGUUGGCCGCAGCCCAAAACGGUCACACAAGUGAGGAGUUUUCUUGGCCUCGCUGGAUUCUAUAGGCGUUUUGUGAGAGAUUUCAGCACCAUUGCUGCACCUUUCAAUGAGCUUACAAAGAAAGAUGUGCCUUUUCUUUGGGGUGCCGCACAGGAAGAAGCCUUCACGGUAUUGAAAGAUAAGUUGACACAUGCUCCUUUACUCCAACUUCCUGAUUUUAAUAAGACUUUUGAGCUUGAAUGUGAUGCUAGUGGAAUUGGAUUAGGAGGUGUGUUAUUACAAGAUGGCAAACCUGUUGCAUACUUUUCUGAAAAAUUGAGUGGGCCUUGUCUGAAUUAUUCUACUUAUGAUAAAGAAUUAUAUGCUCUUGUUCGGACUUUAGAAACAUGGCAACAUUAUUUAUGGCCCAAAGAAUUUGUUAUACAUUCUGAUCAUGAAUCUUUGAAACAUAUUAAAAGUCAAGCUAAACUGAAUCGUAGACAUGCUAAAUGGGUUGAAUUCAUUGAGACUUUCCCUUAUGUCAUUAAACACAAGAAGGGAAAAGAAAAUGUUAUUGCUGAUGCAUUGUCUCGUCGCUAUACUAUGCUUUCACAACUUGACUUCAAAAUAUUUGGUUUGGAGACCAUCAAAGAUCAAUAUGUGCAUGAUGCUGAUUUUAAAGAUGUAAUGCAGAAUUGUAAAGAAGGAAGAAUGUGGAACAAGUUUGUCGUUAACGAUGGAUUUGUGUUUUGUGCUAACAAGCUAUGCAUUCCAGCUAGCUCCGUUCGUCUUUUGUUGUUGCAGGAGGCGCAUGGAGGAGGAUUAAUGGGACACUUUGGCGUGAAGAAGACGGAGGACGUACUUGCUACACAUUUCUUUUGGCCAAAGAUGAGACGGGAUGUUGAGCGUUUUAUUGCUCGAUGCACUACAUGUCAAAAAGCUAAGUCACGACUCAAUCCUCAUGGUUUAUAUAUGCCUUUGCCUGUACCUAGUGUUCCUUGGGAGGAUAUAUCUAUGGACUUUGUUUUAGGUUUACCUCGAACAAAGAAGGGGAGGGAUAGCAUAUUUGUUGUCGUGGAUAGAUUCUCGAAAAUGGCACACUUUAUACCAUGUCAUAAAAGCGAUGAUGCUGUUAAUGUUGCUGAUUUGUUCUUUCGUGAAAUUAUUCGCUUGCAUGGUGUGCCAAAUACUAAAUUUCUUAGCCACUUUUGGAGAUGUUUAUGGGCUAAGUUGGGGACUAAACUGCUUUUUAGUACUACUUGUCACCCCCAAACCGAUGGACAAACUGAAGUAGUCAAUAGAACGUUGUCUACUGUGCUUAGGGCUGUUUUGAAGAAUAAUAAGAAAAUGUGGGAGGAAUGCUUGCCUCAUAUUGAAUUUGCUUAUAAUCGUUCAUUGCAUUCUACUACUAAGAUGUGCCCUUUUGAAGUUGUGUAUGGUUUCCUACCUCGUGCACCUAUUGAUUUGUUGCCUCUUCCAUCUUCGGAGAAGGUUAAUUUUGAUGCUAAACAACGUGCUGAAUUGAUUUUAAAAAUGCAUGAGUUAACUAAGGAAAACAUUGAGCGGAUGAAUGCUAAAUAUAAACUUGCUGGAGAUAAGGGUAGAAAACAUGUUGUGUUUGCACCUGGAGAUCUUGUUUGGUUACAUUUGCGUAAGGAUAGAUUUCCUGAUUUGCGCAAAUCAAAGCUAAUGCCACGUGCUGAUGGUCCCUUUAAGGUGUUAGAGAAAUUAAAUGAUAAUGCAUAUAAACUUGAGCUGCCUGCAGAUUUUGGGGUUAGUCCCACUUUUAACAUUGCAGAUUUGAAGCCUUAUUUGGGUGAGGAAGAUGAACUUUCGUCGAGGACGACUUCAUUUCAAGAAGGGGAGGAUGAUGAGGACAUUAAUACAAUUGAAACAGACCCUCGUGGUCAGGUUGAUCGUGCUCCGGAAUAG